Small nucleolar RNA from Abrus precatorius (Indian licorice), 80 nucleotides. RefSeq annotates it as small nucleolar RNA snoR114. The record is from RefSeq and is a predicted model, not a curated record. NCBI's taxonomy places the organism in Eukaryota, Viridiplantae, Streptophyta, Magnoliopsida, Fabales, Fabaceae. The transcript has a single exon.
GAGUUAUGAGGAAAUUCUUGUGAUUGAUGGGUCAAUCACUCUCAUCUUCUAGUUAGAUGGAAUAAUCUGCAUCUGAGCUC